AACGAACGCUGGCGGCAUGCCUAACACAUGCAAGUCGAACGAGACCUUCGGGUCUAGUGUCGCACGGGUGCGUAACGCGUGGGAACCUGCCCUUCGGUUCGGAAUAACUCCCCGAAAGGGGUGCUAAUACCGGAUAAUGUCUUCGGACCAAAGAUUUAUCGCCUUUGGAUGGGCCCGCGUUGGAUUAGCUAGUUGGUAGGGUAAAAGCCUACCAAGGCGACGAUCCAUAGCUGGUCUGAGAGGAUGAUCAGCCACACUGGGACUGAGACACGGCCCAGACUCCUACGGGAGGCAGCAGUGGGGAAUAUUGGACAAUGGGCGAAAGCCUGAUCCAGCAAUGCCGCGUGAGUGAUGAAGGCCUUAGGGUUGUAAAGCUCUUUUACCCGGGAUGAUAAUGACAGUACCGGGAGAAUAAGCCCCGGCUAACUCCGUG
RNAcentral lists this ribosomal RNA (433 nucleotides) under uncultured bacterium. Its description in RNAcentral is "partial 16S ribosomal RNA". It matches the Rfam family "Bacterial small subunit ribosomal RNA", at positions 29 to 507 of the family's 1533-position model. The record is from RNAcentral.